UAACAAAACGGCCCUCCUGUAUACAAUAUUUUCUAUUUUAUAAAUAUAAAGUAAUUUUAUAUAAAAAUUUUAGUUAAUAUUAAUUAAGAAUAUUGUUCUGGUUGAUCAGUUUGUCGGAUGCACCACAUUUUUCGUACGACAUCGAUUUUGUCAGAUAGUUCAAGGGAUUGAUACCGUUUUCUUUUGGGGAAUAGUCUGGAAAUAAAGUAAUUAUGAUGAUUUAAAACAAUAAAUAAUAAGUCAGUUACCAUUUUCUUCAUCAUUAAGACCAAAAGCAUCUUUUCCCAGGUCUUUGAAAGUUCAUGGAACGAAGGUCUUCCUUCAGGAUCCGGAUGCCAACAACUUCUCAUCACUUUGUAUCUAGAAAUUAAUAAUUAAUAAUGUUUCAAUGUUUUAGAUACAAAAACGUUCGUAC
Molecule: long non-coding RNA, 415 nt
Organism: Aethina tumida (small hive beetle)
Lineage: Eukaryota; Metazoa; Arthropoda; Insecta; Coleoptera; Nitidulidae
Exons: 3
Source: RefSeq, a predicted model, not a curated record